RNAcentral lists this ribosomal RNA (1477 nucleotides) under Megarcys signata. Its description in RNAcentral is "SSU rRNA". It matches the Rfam family "Eukaryotic small subunit ribosomal RNA", at positions 560 to 1802 of the family's 1831-position model. The record is from RNAcentral. Lineage: Eukaryota; Metazoa; Arthropoda; Insecta; Plecoptera; Perlodidae.
UCUGGUGCCAGCAGCCGCGGUAAUUCCAGCUCCAAUAGCGUAUAUUAAAGUUGUUGCGGUUAAAAAGCUCGUAGUUGGACUUGUGUCCCACGCCGUCGGUUCGUCGCCCGUCGACGUAACCGCACGGUUAUGUGAGUGGGACGUCCAGCCGGUAUGUGAGUGGGACGUCCAGCCGGUGGGUCGCAGGUCGUGAGCUAUGCUGGCCGCGCCCCUUGGCGGUUCCAUAUCAUGGCCGCGUCGUGGGUGUGUCGGGAGGUGUUUGUGUCGCGUUCGCGUUCGUCGAAGAUCGCCUGGCCCGCAAUAAAACGGCGCUGUGUUGUGGGGACCGUCUCUCACUCAGGGUGUCGCUGUGUCGGCGCACACGGUGCCGGACCCCAUGUUACUCCGUCUCGGUGCUCUUAAUCGAGUGUCUUGACGGGCCGGCUCGUUUACUUUGAACAAAUUAGAGUGCUUAAAGCAGGCCAAUUGCUGCCUGAAUAUUGUGUGCAUGGAAUAAUGGAAUAGGAUCUCGGUUCUAUUUUGUUGGUUUUCUGAACCAGAGAUAAUGAUUAAUAGAGACUGACGGGGGCAUUCGUAUUGCGACGUUAGAGGUGAAAUUCUUGGACCGUCGCAAGACGAACAUAAGCGAAAGCAUUUGCCAAGAAAGCUUUCUUUAAUCAAGAACGAAAGUUAGAGGUUCGAAGGCGAUCAGAUACCGCCCUAGUUCUAACCAUAAACGAUGCCAACUAGCGAUCCGCCGGUGUUCCUCCGAUGACCCGGCGGGCAGCUUCCGGGAAACCAAAGUGUUUGGGUUGGUUGCAAAGCUGAAACUUAAAGGAAUUGACGGAAGGGCACCACCAGGAGUGGAGCCUGCGGCUUAAUUUGACUCAACACGGGAAACCUCACCAGGCCCGGACACUGGAAGGAUUGACAGAUUGAUAGCUCUUUCUUGAUUCAGUGGAUGGUGGUGCAUGGCCGUUCUUAGUUGGUGGAGCGAUUUGUCUGGUUAAUUCCGAUAACGAACGAGACUCUGGCCUGCUAACUAGUCGCACAUUGACGACAUCCGCAUUCGUGCUGUCGGCGACAAAUAUAAACUCUUCUUAGAGGGACAAACGGCUUCUAGCCGUACGAGAUUGAGCAAUAACAGGUCUGUGAUGCCCUUAGAUGUUCUGGGCCGCACGCGCGCUACACUGAAUGGUUCAACGUGUGUUUUCCCUUGACCGAGAGGUCCGGGUAACCCGCUGAAAUCCAUUCGUGCUAGGGAUCGGGGCUUGUAAUUAUUCCCCGUGAACGAGGAAUUCCCAGUAAGCGCGAGUCAUAAGCUCGCGUUGAUUACGUCCCUGCCCUUUGUACACACCGCCCGUCGCUACUACCGAUUGAAUGAUUUAGUGAGGUCUUCGGACAGUCGCGCGGCGGCGCCCGCAAGGGCCCGUCGAUGUUCGACUGAAAGAUGAUCAAACUUGAUUAUUUAGAGGAAGUAAAAGUCGUAACAAGGUUU